UACGUAGGGUGCAGGCGUUAAUCGGAAUUACUGGGCGUAAAGCGUGCGCAGGCGGUCUGUUAAGAGAGAUGUGAAAUCCCCGGGCUUAACCUGGGAACUGCGUUUCUAACUGGCAGGCUUGAGUGUGGCAGAGGGGGGUGGAAUUCCACGUGUAGCAGUGAAAUGCGUAGAGAUGUGGAGGAACACCGAUGGCGAAGGCAGCCCCCUGGGCUAACACUGACGCUCAUGCACGAAAGCGUGGGGAGCAAGCAGG
This 253-nucleotide ribosomal RNA is filed under the name uncultured bacterium. RNAcentral describes it as "partial 16S ribosomal RNA". It matches the Rfam family "Bacterial small subunit ribosomal RNA", at positions 524 to 776 of the family's 1533-position model. The record is from RNAcentral.